AUUUUCUCUUGCCACUGUCACGUAAGAAGCGGUUUUUGCCUCCCACCGUGAUUGUGAGGCCUCCCCAGCCAUGUAGAAUUAGCCAGCCUGUUUUUGAUGAAGAGCAACUGUACUGGAGAGAAAGCCUGUAUUCAUAUUCAUCGUCAUCAGGCAAAUCAAGGAGCCGACUUGCUUGGGAUCAUCUGCUGGUUGAAUCCAUGGAUGCAGAACCCCAGAUUCAGAGGGCUGAACGUACUUUCGAUAGGUUCCUGAGCAGCAGCGAUUACAUUCACAGCAGACUGGACAGUUUGCUGAGCAAGUUCAGGGGCUGGCUUAGUGCUUCAUAGUUCUUUCUUCCUCCUCUCCCAACAGUUUUGUUUCAGCAGUGAUUUGGUCAAAUGUGAACCACAAACCAGCAGCAAAAGCAUUUUCUAGGAACUUGUUAAAACUGGAAGGCCCAAGGUUGCACUCAGGCUUACUGAGUCAGUCACUCCAAGUGGACCCAAUCCCUGAACCUUGAGACCCACUGCCCCUCUUUUGAUCUGGGAGAGAAACAGAAAAAAGAAGGAAAAAAAAUCCCCAAUGUGAGUAUGCUGGAAAGUAAAUUUGAAUAGCUUUUUAUAUUGGGUACUUACUGUGGGUAAUUUACAAACGAUUGGAAGCAACCACAAAUUAAAACACAGCCAAAUUUAAGGUCUCUUUAGCGGAAAUCAAUCUUACAUCAUGGCAGUUCUCCCAUACUCCAGUCUUUCACUUGAUAGAUCACUUCCUCAUUAGGAUGACCUCCACCAAUUCUACACAAACUGCUCUUUACGUUUAAACAGUGCUUUCUGUCCUAACAUGUCAAAAUGCUUGACAAGCAAUCAAAAGGUAGCUCACUAAUUUUUUCAACUCAUGGCAGUAAAUAGGCUGCAUCUACCAUCACUGCUGUUUACUGGUGAUUUCUUGGCAGGGAAACUUUAAAUGCCUUAGCAAUGUCUAGAAAGUCAAUGACUAAAGAAGAAAAUAUUCAUUUUGGCUUCCAUAGGGCUGUAUUUGAUGAAUUGCUCACUAACUUCUAUUAUUACGUCUCAAGAAUAGAUAAUGAUACUCAUCAAGGGCAAAUCCCAAAGAAUAGUCUAUGCUUUCCUUGAUUGAAUCUGAUUUUUGAGAAAUUACAUGGCCUAAUCUACAUUUAAUUAUGAUACAAAUGCUACUUAACUCCCUGUUAUUUCUGGCUGCAUAUAACUGAUACUACUUGAAGAGUAAGAAGCAGAGUCUCACUACACUGGGGACCCUUUGAGAGCCAAGUCUGUGUCUUAGUCAUCUUUGAUGGCUUAGUGACCAGUACCAUAUCUGGAAUAGCAUAUGUGAUCAGUAACUCAAAUGUAUGUAUUUCUUGAAUGUAUGGUGCAUGAAUGAGUCAAGAUACUUUUAGCGUUGGAAGCAAUCUGUCAUGCAGUAGGAGGAGAAAAAGUAGUGAAAAAACUUCUAAAUUCUCAAAACCUAGUGCUGAACUGAAUGCUGAUAAUAAUUUGACAACGUCCUUUGGCAUUGCAGAUGUUGAGAUACCAACAUCUAAUCUGCCAAGAAAGAAUUUCAGAAUUAAAAUUUGGGUGUGUUCUUGCGCUGGGGAUUUCUCUGACCUACCUUCUGAUAGAACUUGGAACCCAAGUCAAUAGUCAAUAUACUAGUUUUUUACUUAAAACUGUAACAUUUUAAUCCAAUUUUAGAGACGUGAAAUAAAACUGAUGGGAAACUCUUGAAAUUUUUAUCACUGGAAUAACCUAAUUUUGAAAACGCUGAUGGUUAGUUUCUUGAGAUAUUAAUAUUACUACAAGUCGUAAGUAAAAGCAUUCUAUCUUAAGUGAGAAACUAUAAAGAUAGAUAAUUACUAUUUGAGUUUGUGGCCUGGUUUGAAUAAACACUUGCUUGUUUUAAGUAAAACAAAGUUCAGCUGAAGUGACAAUCCAUCUUUAAUCUUAUAAAGCUUCUAUGUUAGAUAUUUUCUAUCUCUAACACACCAAACAUGCAUAUUAAACUGAGUUUUUUUGCAUGCAA
Molecule: long non-coding RNA, 2019 nt
Filed under: Pongo abelii (Sumatran orangutan)
Lineage: Eukaryota; Metazoa; Chordata; Mammalia; Primates; Hominidae
Description: lincRNA
Source: RNAcentral